CAUUUCCCACUUAGGCUGCUAUUUCCAGGGAAUGAUUAUUUGAUUGUAACAUUUGUUCCAGGCAGCAACGGGCCAAGGAGAGGUCUUAGCUCAAAAGCACCUUCCACCUACUUAAAAGCAACAGCCACCACAGCGUACUCAAUUUAAAAUGAUGGAAAUCAACAACAAAAACCUCAGAUAUUUUGAGUUCUGGAGGACAGAAAGGGUUGUUUUGACAAUGGCGUGAAGUUUAUGACUGCGGGUCAUCAAGAGUUCAUUGUCUGGCAUUCUGGCAUGGGCAUGAUUGAAGGAGCUGCCAAAACAUCACUGAGCACAAAUCUGGAAGAUGGAAUAAGUGGAGACAGGAGGUCUCAAUCAGCUCUCUCCUUUUUGGGAGUUUGCGCACUGAGGAGAGCAGGGUUGGCAGCAGCAAGAGAGAGAAAGAAAAUGUUUGCUGACCUCUGACAGAUGAUAAGUGGUGGAACCAGGAGUGAAAUAAUGCACCUGUCUAUGGAUGCCUCAAUCUAGGGUUACAUCAGGAACAUGCCUUCUCUAAAUGAAAAAAGCAAUGGUGGCAGCAGACAGCAAAA
RNAcentral lists this long non-coding RNA (569 nucleotides) under Pan paniscus (pygmy chimpanzee). RNAcentral's name for it is "lncRNA (ENSPPAG00000044514.1)". Lineage: Eukaryota; Metazoa; Chordata; Mammalia; Primates; Hominidae. The record is from RNAcentral.